This 1995-nucleotide long non-coding RNA is filed under the name Homo sapiens (human). RNAcentral's name for it is "non-protein coding LINC02248:8". Lineage: Eukaryota; Metazoa; Chordata; Mammalia; Primates; Hominidae. The record is from RNAcentral.
CUGACCGUGCCUGAGUAAGCCCCAUGGGAACACAGCCGUGGUGGGAAGCAGCUUCCCAGCAGCCCUCCCCGCCAUCGGGAGAAUCCCCUGAGGCCAUGAGAGGGUCUCAGGGAGGUGGACGGCCCAUCAAGUGAGAACCGAGGGCACUGUGCACUCCUGAAUCCUAGGACUCCUCUUAGGUCAUUGACUAACAACAUCAACAAUGAAAUGAAUCUGAGAAAACAGGAAAUUGAGAGCAAGAGAAAAAAAAGUUAAUUAUACUGAUUUUGUAUAAGACCCCUUUGAACACAUUUUUAAAAAAUCAAAUAGAAGGUGCCCAGGUCCACUGUGCCUUGUGAAUAUUUGUCUUGUAUAUCCUAGAGAUCUACGCAUUCAUGUGGGAAUUGAAAAGGACCCACAUUUUACUAGAAGCAUCGUUCAUUUUUGCCUCAAAACAAUGCCCACAUGUCAGAAGAACUUUCACAAUUCACAGGAACAGUGACCUAAUUAACCAACCAUAAAAUUGCCAAAUCCCUACUUCUCAUUGUUUAAUAUGCUUAGAAAACCCAUUCAAAUUGUGAAUUAUCAAGUGAGCUUACACUGAUAAAUAGAUCCAAUAUUUAGGAAUUUUUAAAUCUUCCAUUCCUUUUUUUUUUUUGUCUUUUUAAAAAUAGAACAUUAGAAUAUGUCCUCCAGGUUUUAGAGAUGGGGGAGACAUGCUUCCCUUUAUUUCUCAGUAACUCAGCCAAAAAAAAUCUGGAGAGAAUGCAAAGACAGCUACUGGAAACUUUGAAAAGUAGAUGUGAGCCCAUCAGGGAAGAGCUAGAGAAUCUGAAAUCUACUCGAAAAAGUGAGUUUGAUACUUUGUGUUCCUAUCCUAACUCCACACAGCCUGAAACUUGGAAGUGAGCAUGAUGGAGUGGAUACAGUGAGAUGCAGAAGAAAUCCUCCAGUUUGGGCUGGAAGGGAAAAAAGAGACCCCUAAAACUCAGAGACAGUGGAAGAAAUUCCUGGUGUUUUUUUCUUCUCUUUUUCUCUGUUCUUCCACAUAGCAAUUUAGUAUUGACUACAGCAUCUCUGUUACAAUGAUAGCACCGAAAUGUUGUAACCAUAUGGCCUGCAAAGCCAAAAAUACUUAUCUGACCAUCUACAGGAAAAGUUUGCUGAUCUGGAUGAAAUAUUCUGAUACUAAAUAUUCCAUUUUGAGGCUGAUAUUCCUAAUCUAUUCAUAAGGAUGGCAUAUCUACCCAGUGGGCCUGCUGGGACUCCAGUUACCCGAUGCACAUACAUUGCUUGGUGUGGCAGUUUCGUGUGCAUUUUUGGUGAUGAUGCUCCACGGAACAUCUGCAGAUGUGCUGUCAAUUUGGACAGCUCUGACUACCGAGUGAAUGGGAAGUACUAACGAGAACUGUCUGCUUGGGAACUCCAUGAAGUUCGUGGCUUUUGUGAUUGAAAUAGCAUCAAUAAAAGGUUGACACUGUGGAACAACACAAGCCUGCAUGGACCUGGUUAUCUCUGACCUCGCACCACUCAUGAGACCAUACCUGAGCCCUACUCCACUUUGGCAGAACUGUUGCAUGGCCUCUCUUCAUAUAAUACCUCUCCGUACACCGUACACCGCAGCUCAAAGAAAGGAUAUAUGCUCCCUGUGAAGACUAAUGGAACUGUCCCUCCUGAUCCUCCUACAGACUUCCUCUGGCCUAAUGGGUGCACCAUUGCAUUAUAUCUGCCAUCUAUACACACAUAUACCUUUCAACCCUGCACUCUCUGAGAUGACUGGACUCAUGCCUAAAUAACUGAUGCUGUCCCUAGUGUAAGGAAGCUGCCUGACGAGGAGCUGUACGGAAAUAAGAGUAAUUCAGUGAUGGGGUCCAAGCAUCCUGAAUAUAAGCGGUCCAUGUCAAGAAAGAGCCAAAGGGCGUCCUCAGGACAUGGAAGAGGGGCAUUCCAGGCUGGCAGCUGGGGAGGCCCAGAGAGCCCUGGAGAAGAUCUGAAGUCCAUUGCAGAGCUUUCUUU